Molecule: long non-coding RNA, 572 nt
Organism: Lactuca sativa (garden lettuce)
Lineage: Eukaryota; Viridiplantae; Streptophyta; Magnoliopsida; Asterales; Asteraceae
Source: RefSeq, a predicted model, not a curated record
AGACGUUAGCGACCUAUGGCCGUAGCCUUACUGAAAAACGCAAAAACAAGGAGCUAGGGUUUGAAACAACCAUCCCUAAUUUACAUCUGCAUAUAAAAUACAUCCUCCUUGCAACCAAACAACUCAAUCGCAGCUACUUCAUCUCUUCUCAAUAGCUCGCAUCCUCCUUUCAUCAUCAUUUAUGUUUCAAUAAUGCUCGAUUUACUUGUACUUCAUCGUUUUGAGUCUGUUGAAUGGGCUUAUCAUUAAGCCUGAUAUUGCAAUUCCUUGAUCGGAGUCCAAUUUCAACGGUGGAUUAAGGGAUCUAUCAUUAGGCUAAAUGAAGUAUUUCGAUCACAUAUAUUUGAAUUCUAUAUGUGGCUACCUUUAGCUCCGGAUCUUCCUCUUUAGCUAGGGCUUUUCGGUGACAAGGUUACAAAUAAAUAGGUACUGAUGCAAGGUUUAGAGAAGACGGAGCAGUCAGGACUCGUCUUUUAUUUUGAGUAUUCAUUAUGUUGUUUUAUACUAUGAAAGAACACACUUGUAAUUAGAAUUAUUCUAUUAAUGUAAUGGAGGAUGUUGUUGCUUGUUUA